This 253-nucleotide ribosomal RNA is filed under the name uncultured bacterium. RNAcentral's name for it is "partial 16S ribosomal RNA". It matches the Rfam family "Bacterial small subunit ribosomal RNA", at positions 524 to 776 of the family's 1533-position model. The record is from RNAcentral.
UACGGAGGGUGCAAGCGUUAUCCGGAUUCACUGGGUUUAAAGGGUGCGUAGGUGGGCAGGUAAGUCAGUGGUGAAAGCCCAGGGCUCAACCUUGGAAUUGCCUUUGAUACUGGCUAUCUUGAGUUCGGGAGAGGUGAGUGGAAUGCCGAGUGUAGAGGUGAAAUUCGUAGAUAUUCGGAAGAACACCAGUGGCGAAGGCGGCUCACUGGUCCGGUACUGACGCUGAGGUGCGAAAGCGUGGGGAGCAAACAGG